GCUAAUACUUGACGGGAAACGCCCUCAGUCGAGUGUGUUCCUCCGGGAGCAUAAUCUACUGAGGAGGGGAGGAUCCUUAUGGUCCUUUCAAUAUAUUACCACUUCUUUGUGAAUAAGGGUGGAUUAUAUGCCAAGAGAAUUGUAGAAAUCGAAAGAUUUUCACAAGUCAUCAUUAAGAAUAUCUGACCUAUCAACUGGUUGUUGGUAAGGUAGUGGCUUACCAAGGUGAUAACGGGUAACGAGGAAUAAGGGUUCGACAUCGGAGAGGGAGCUUUAGAAAUGGCUACCACUUCUAAGGAAGGCAGCAGGCGCGAAAAUUACCCAAUCUUAACAACUGAAGGAGGUAGUGACGACAAUUAACGCUUUCCCUCGCAUUUUGUGAGGAUUGCCGGAAUGAUCACGACAUAAACCAUCGUGAGAAAGCGAUUGGAGGGCAAGUCUGGUGCCAGCAGCCGCGGUAAUUCCAGCUCCAAUAGUGUAUUGUAAAGUUGUUGUGAUUAAAACGCUCGUAGUUGAAUGUAAACAAUCGAGGCAUGAUUUACGUUCUCUGGCGUGUGAGCUUGCUCAUUGUCAGUAGGACCGCAAUCAAUGAAUGUCUCACUAUAAGCGGGAGUUUGAUUCAGUUCCAAACUCUUUUACUUUGAUUAAAUCAAGGUGCUUAAAGCAAAAUCUUCUGUUAAUGAAUGAUGAAGCAUGGUAUAAAACGAAAAACAGAACAGAAAUCAAUAUUGAAUUAUGAGGAUGGCUUGCCAUUCGAAUUUUUCGGUGUUUUGUUUUGUUUAAAACAAGAUUAAGAGAAAUGAUUAGGGUGAUUUAGAUAGGAACGGGAGAGGUGGAAUUCCAUGAUCGUUUCGAGAUAAACGAGAGCGAAAGCAUUUCACUGAAUUCAUUUCAUUAAUCAAGAACGAAAGUCAGGGAAUCAAAGACGAUUAGAUACCGUCGUAGUCCUGACCAUAAACGAUGUCAACUAAGGAUUGGAUAAGAAAUUUUCGAAGUACGGGUUUCUAAUAUCAACAAGCGACAGCUUGGCGAUUCUGAAACUGUCUUCAAUUCUUCCCUUAUUCAGGACUUGAUGAGAAAUCAUUAAGUGAAUGGACUUCAGGGGGAGUAUGGUCACAAGGCUGAAACUUAAAGGAAUUGACGGAAGGGCACACCAGGAGUGGAGCCUGCGGCUUAAUUUGACUCAACACGGGAAAACUUACCAAGACCGAACGGUGUAAGGAAUGACAGGUUACUGGGUCUUUCAUGAUUCAUCGGGGAGU
This 1262-nucleotide ribosomal RNA is filed under the name Entamoeba coli. RNAcentral describes it as "bacterial SSU rRNA". It matches the Rfam family "Eukaryotic small subunit ribosomal RNA", at positions 163 to 1278 of the family's 1831-position model. Lineage: Eukaryota; Evosea; Mastigamoebida; Endamoebidae. The record is from RNAcentral.